UCCGAUGUCGUCCAGCGGUUAGGAUAUUUGGCUUUCACCCAGGAGACCCGGGUUCGAUUCUUGGAAUGGGAA
This is a transfer RNA of Arabidopsis thaliana (thale cress), 72 nucleotides long. It matches the Rfam family "tRNA". From Rfam's summary of the family: Transfer RNA (tRNA) molecules are approximately 80 nucleotides in length. Their secondary structure includes four short double-helical elements and three loops (D, anti-codon, and T loops). NCBI's taxonomy places the organism in Eukaryota, Viridiplantae, Streptophyta, Magnoliopsida, Brassicales, Brassicaceae. The record is from Rfam.